This 354-nucleotide unclassified non-coding RNA is filed under the name uncultured fungus. RNAcentral describes it as "sequence contains ITS1". Lineage: Eukaryota; Fungi. The record is from RNAcentral.
CGGAUUUGCGACCUAUGUGACGAGCACCAGCGCCACACCAACGAACUCGCCGCCACCAUUCCCGCCGCGCAACGUGACGGCCGCACCGGGCGCCGCCGGAGUCGCGGUUUCAUGGGAAGCGCCGGAGGGCGGUGGAGCAACGAGCUACGCCCUAAUGCAGUACGACCUGACUACCGGAGCGAUCCAGUGGGCGACGGCUCCGACACGCGCGAAAAUGUUUGUGGGCCUCGCCAACGGCGACACCUACGUCUAUUUCGUCGGCUCAGUCGGCACUAACGGCACCAGCGGUUUGGCGACGAGCAACGACGCCACGCCAACGCCUGGGCUGGGCCUCUUGCUCGAUCCCAGCAACGU